This 500-nucleotide long non-coding RNA is filed under the name Ovis aries (sheep). Its description in RNAcentral is "lncRNA (ENSOARG00000026269.1)". Lineage: Eukaryota; Metazoa; Chordata; Mammalia; Artiodactyla; Bovidae. The record is from RNAcentral.
CUUAACUAGACGGACCUUAAUCGGCAAAGUAAUGUCUCUGCUUUUGAUUAUGCUAUCUAGGUUGGUCAUAACUUUUCUUCCAAGGAGUAAGCAUCUUUUAAUUUCAUGGCUGCAAUCACCAUCUGCAGUGAUUUUGGAGCCCAAAAAAAUAAAGUCUGACACUGUUUCCACUGUUUCCCCAUCCAUUUCCCAUGAAGUGAUGCCAUGAUCUUCGUUUUCUGAAUGUUGAGCUUUAAGCCAACUUUUUCACUCUCCUCUUUCACUUUCAUCAGGAGGCUUUUUAGUUCCUCUUCACUUUCUGCCAUAAGAGUAGUGUCAUCUGUGUAUCUAUAGUUAUUGCUAUUUCUCCCAGCAAUCUUGAUUCCAGCUUGUGCUUCUUCCAGCCCAGCGAUUCUCAUGAUGUACUCUGCAUGUAAGUUAAGUAAGCAGGGUGACAAUAUACAGCCUGACAUACUUGUGCAAUAUGUCCUUAUUAUAUAUUUUCUAUAUAGUAGUUUCAA